Molecule: long non-coding RNA, 343 nt
Organism: Erinaceus europaeus (western European hedgehog)
Lineage: Eukaryota; Metazoa; Chordata; Mammalia; Eulipotyphla; Erinaceidae
Exons: 3
Source: RefSeq, a predicted model, not a curated record
UCUGGACACAGCCUGAAGUGAAGCAUGCAGUUAAUAUGAUCACUUCAAGCCCCAUCCAAGAUGAGAUGAAGAAGUACCAGAGAUCAAACAUGCUAGGCUCUACUCUUGAGCUGUCUUUGGAGUUCCGGUGAUUGGUCUACUUUCAACAGUUAAAAACAAGGUAUGAGUCAAGAGUCAUAUACUUCCUUUAAGGGCUAGAUGAGCAGGGACAAAAUGGCACAAUUUUUCUUUUCCUCAACAUUCCCUAACAAACAAUAGCCUCUUCUGCAAUACACUAAACUAUGAUUAGGCAACAAGAAAUAAAUACCCAUGCCCAACAAACUCCCCUUCCUUAUGUUCAGCA